Molecule: ribosomal RNA, 176 nt
Filed under: Solidesulfovibrio aerotolerans
Lineage: Bacteria; Pseudomonadati; Thermodesulfobacteriota; Desulfovibrionia; Desulfovibrionales; Desulfovibrionaceae
Description: Desulfovibrio aerotolerans partial 23S ribosomal RNA
Rfam family: Bacterial large subunit ribosomal RNA
Source: RNAcentral
GCAGGGUAGCUACGUUCGGAAAGGAUAACCGCUGAAAGCAUCUAAGCGGGAAGCCUGCCUCAAGACGAGUUCUCCCUGAAGGACCCAUGUAGACUACAUGGUUGAUAGGCUGGAUGUGCACAAGCAGCAAUGCUUUCAGCAGACCAGUACUAAUAGUCCGUUCGACUUGAUUUUUG